Molecule: long non-coding RNA, 2232 nt
Organism: Aegilops tauschii subsp. strangulata
Lineage: Eukaryota; Viridiplantae; Streptophyta; Magnoliopsida; Poales; Poaceae
Source: RefSeq, a predicted model, not a curated record
AGCCUUUCCACAUUUUUUUCUAUACACCGAAGGGUUUGUUGGGGACGUUUCUUUCUUUGAGAGGUCACCCGUCGCACACUUCCUCUUCCCCAUGCCCGAGACAUCUGUUUUCAACGCAUCGCCUCCUCUGCUUCCCAGUCGCAUCGCAACCUCCUACCUUCUCCAUGACAACUUCUCCCCCACUUGGCCAUCCACAAAGUCCAUUAAAUCACGGUAGCGGAAAGGAUGCGGUUCUAUAUUUACAAGCGGACCCAUCAAUCGAUCACAUCAGCGCCAGGAAGAUGAGAAGGCGAGGUCAAGGUUUGGGUCAAGGUUCAGACCAGCCGAAAGAAGAGGUUCAGGUCAAGGUUCAGAUCGGCGGCGAUGCAGAGCGACGGCUUGCCGGAGCAGCAACCUCCACAGUGGUGGUGUUCGAGCCGUUGGCAUCGCUGCGCAUAGCCGUGGCUUCCUCCUCCCACCAGCCGCUCGAGAGCGUCAGGGCUCCACGGCCCUCUAUCCCAUGCACUACCAUCACCAUCCAAUUAGAGUGUGCUACAGCAAACAGUGGCAAUAGCUGACGGAAGUGUUUGAUUGGUUAGGAGGAGGAGAGCUGCUGCUUCAAAUAGUUUUUCGAGACAACUGCAUCAUGGUCUACUACAAUGAGAAGAGACACUAGCAGUCGAGACUAAAUAUCAGUAUCUAGGUGCACCUAUUGACCUGAUUCGCUCUAGCAGGUUUCAUCACUAAUGUUACUGAAUUUCUUUGUGAUAGAUGAUGCUACCAUCCACUAGAGGUAACACUUGCUGCGCCAUUUUGUUGGUAUGAUUGCAUUAAUUUGGACAGACUCAGUUGCCCAUUGCAAAAGAAGACUGCUGAACAAAUUGUCUUACAAAAAUGCACAAAUCUCUUUUGAUGGUAUGAGGUCCAUAAUCUUCUUUGUUGUUCAAUACAUCUUCUAUUUUGAAUUACUUAUGUGUUCUGAACAUAUUUCGCAAUAAUCAAAAUAUCUUAAUGUUGUAGGUUAAUUUUGUCUGGAUUACGGGGGUAAAGAAAGCUUUUGUCUAGAUUAGUUAUCUUCCAAUCAUUCUCAUAUUUUAAUGUUGUCAGUUACUUCUGCAUAUAUGCGCACCCGAGAGUGUUGACAAGUAUAGGUCUGAACAGUUCAAGGAAGACGAUAAAAAAUAGUUGAAGGAAGGCUAGCCUAUUUUUCCAUCCAAUUCUCAUUAGUUUUGCAUGGACCUAAAAAUAUUACUAGGAAACAAGAUACAUAUUGUUUGAAAGUUGCCAAAAUUCCAGUGGAUAAACAUUAGGCUUAUCACUCCUUAUGUUUGCUAACCUCUAUCUUCAAUAUUUUCCUUGUGAGUUUUAUUUCUUAUCUACGAUGAACUUUGGUGGUCUGCUCUCAGCUCCUAAUGUCCCUAUCUAUAGAAGUAAGAACAUACUCUCUUUUAAUUAUCCUUGCAGAUUGUUACUCUUUGAUUCCUACGGAAUUGCUUCAUUGCUACACCUUUAAUCUAAUUAUGUUUAGCAUUGUGGAAUCAGUAAGAUUUACUUCACCAUCCUCUCUUCAUUGUCAUAUUUGUUCGGUUUAUGUACAUGUCGUUGUUUUGGAACAGGUUAUCCUAACUUCCCAAACCAUUACUACAGACUUGCAAUAUUAACUAGAAUAGAAAUAUAGAAUAUCGAAUGCAUAAUAUUCUUAUGGAUUGUCAUGUUCUUUAUUGACCAAAAGUUCAUCACCGUGCUUAGUUUAAAAGCUCUCUCCCUUGACUGGUCUUGCCUUAUUAAGUCAAAAUUGUAUCACCUUUUUAUUUAAUCAUGAAACUUAUUUUUCACGAUAAUUGUGGUAUAAUAUUGCCUUCACUAAAUGUAGUAGAGGUUUGGUUUUAUGUGUAGAAAUUAUGGUAAAAAGUGAAUUGGUAAUUUCUGUUCUCAAUGUCAUCAACGCUCACACACUAUUAUUUUCCACUUUCAAGUGAAAGUGCUCUGUUCCUGUUAAUGGUGGUGAUUGUUUGUUGUCUUCAGCGGAUGAAGACAAGCAGUGAGCUACGAUGUGGGCAACUAAGAAGAAUCAUUACCGCCUCUGAAGCAACUCUCCAGUACCUAUUUGAUUUGUGGUACAUUUAUUUGUUUCUCAUGGGUGAGAUGUUUUUGAUGCAUAAAUGGUUGGCGGGGCCACGUUAUUUUGUCAGUGGGAACUGAAACCACCAAUAUUAUUAUAUAUUUUAAAAGGAAAUGUUCUGUAUUUUUUCA